This is a non-coding RNA of Camellia sinensis, 2284 nucleotides long. Lineage: Eukaryota; Viridiplantae; Streptophyta; Magnoliopsida; Ericales; Theaceae. The record is from RefSeq and is a predicted model, not a curated record.
GAUCGAUCGAUCGACAGCGAGCAGCGUCGGAGCAGCAGCAGCGUAUCUAUUUAUUUGGAAACUGAUAUCAUAUAAAGUAUGGGAUUUCUUAUUUGUUUUGAGGAUUCUCAACACUCCCAAGUAUGCCCUCAAGAUUAUCUUCUCUCUUUCUUCUCUCCCUCAUAUUAUAUGGAAAGAGAUCAGCAUAUCUAUUUGCCUGCUGUUUCUUCAAUAAAAUUCUCAUGAGUCAAGUACAACUUGGUAGUUCCCCUCUUUACAAGUUAGAUAGAAAGCUGGGCAAAGGGGGCUUUGGGCAAGUUUAUGUUGGAAGACGGGUGAUCGGUGGAUCAGGGCACACUGGCCCUGAUGCUGUUGAGGUUGCUUUGAAAUUUGAGCAUUGAAAUAAUAAAGGAUGCAGUUAUAACCCGCCUUAUGAGUGGCAAGUUUACAGCACUCUUAAUGGUUGUUAUGGAAUUCCUUUGGUCCAUUACAAAGGUCGCCUAGGAAACUAUUAUAUUCUUGUCAUGGAUAUGCUAGGCCCAAGUUUGUGGGAUGUUUGGAACACUAAUAACCAGAUGCUGUCUGAAGAGAUGGUUUCUUGUAUAGCAGUGAAGGCAAUAUCAAUCUUACAGCAGCUUCACUUUAAGGGGUACCUCACUCUCUCUCUCUCUCUCUCAUAUGUAUAUAUGCACAUGUAUUCUGAGCAUGCUCAUAGUUAAUUUUAUUUGGUGAUUGAUGGUAUAGGCACUACAAGUUAGUUUUUGCAUAAGUCUCAUCUGCAAUAUAUAUAUAUAUAUAUGUAUACAAAAUAGUCUCACUUGAAUGACAAAUCCAACACGAAUGUUUUGACAUUCUAUUUUACUAAUGUUUUGAAUUUCUUAGGUAACUUCACUGUUUUGUUGAAUUAUUGUUUCGUUUUCGUUUUUGUUUUUCGAUUACCUUUCUGUUUCGUUUUGAUUCGUCCUUUACUGUUUUUGCUGAUCUUGUACUGGAUUUGAAUUUUUGUAUCUUCACUGCGUCGAAAAUGAAUCGAUUUCCAAGGUUUGCAUCGAUCUUAUACCCUUUAAAUUAAGGGGAAAUUUCAAUUCAGUUGAAGUUUAUAAAUUUUAAUUAUUAAAGUCUUGAACUUUUUCAUGAAUAUGUAAUUAUUUUGUGAAAACUCCACUAAAUUGUAAUUUCCCCAAUUAAUUUUAAAUAGACAACAGAUAUAUGGAUCGAUAUAUGUCUAUAUAUGUAUUUAUGCAUCUAAGCUUUAUGAAAAGCUACCCAAUUUUGCUUUUGUGCUAGGAUGAGUUGAGUCAGUGUCUCCUCCAACACAACAUCGGCCUCUAUUACAGAACCAGGUUUCUUUCUAAAUUGGGAGCUUUGAGGAUCUUGGGUUGGUCUUCUCAUGGCACAUAUUGGUGGGCAUCAUUUCUCUGGAGGGUCUCUAUCAGAAUUGCUACAUUUUUUCAGGGCUGGACGCGCUAAUGGAAGACCUAUAUAUGAAUGGUGAAGUCUCUAAUAUCACUACAUCUGUGAGUACUAGAUAAUGUUUGAUAUUGCAUCAAUCAUUGUAUAGAUGUAUAGGUUUCAAUUUAUUUGAAUCCUUUAGCUAAAGUCAUGUUAUAAUACACAUUUUAUAUACCAUAUUUAAAUUUUAGUUUAAAUUAAUGUUAGUUAUAAAUAAUAAAUAGUUACAUCCUAUUAUGAUGUUUAAUUAUGUUUCAAAGUGAUGUGCAUUACAAUUCAUUGUGGUGGUUUUGAUUGCAAUCAAAAUGAUCUUCGGUUAUGGAUAUAAUUGAUGUUAAUCACGACUCAAUGUAACAGUGAUCAAUGUGGAAAAAGUGCUUAUAUCAUAUUUUUUAUUAUAUUUUGAUCUUUUUUUGUUUUUGUUUUUGUUUUUGUUUUUGUAAAAUAUUUUAUAAAACCUUUUUUUGAUACUUUUUGUCUUGUAAAUGUCUAUUGAUUGAAAAUUUUAUUUACAAACUAUUAUUUUGUUUAUUAUGAUCUUGAAUUUUUUUUAAUGCCUGUAUCUGUUUGGUAGUGUAGCAAGUGUCAUAAUUUUCUUACACAGUAAUUUCAGUCAAAUAUUAACCCUGAGGUUCUUUAACACAAGCAACCAUAAUUUACAUGCACGAACUCCAAAUUUGUAUAUUCACAUGACUCUAAUUAAAGCAAAGGAAACUCCAUAAAGCUCAACAUUUUUAAUUUUGUAUUUGAUUGAGAUGUUUAAUUAUCCAUGUGGGAUUUGAUGACUAACAAAAAAAAUGUUGUAUUUGAUGCUAUAGUAGUUAAAUUUUUAUGUUUUUUUGUAAUUAACAUU